RNAcentral lists this ribosomal RNA (773 nucleotides) under uncultured Neocallimastigales. RNAcentral's name for it is "partial large subunit ribosomal RNA". It matches the Rfam family "Eukaryotic large subunit ribosomal RNA", at positions 23 to 634 of the family's 3401-position model. Lineage: Eukaryota; Fungi; Neocallimastigomycota; Neocallimastigomycetes; Neocallimastigales. The record is from RNAcentral.
AGAGAUGUGUGAUGACGCAUAUCAAUAAGCGGAGGAAAAGAAACUAACAAGGAUUCCCUUAGUAACGGCGAGUGAAGCGGGAAGAGCUCAAAUUUGAAAUCUUCAAGGUUUUACCUUGACGAAUUGUAGUUUAAAGAAGUGUUUUCUGUUGAAGUUUUGGUAAAGGUUCUUUGGAAUAGGACAUCAUAGAGGGUGAGAAUCCCGUAUUUGACCAUUAUUUUCAGCUGUGUGAUACACUUUCAAAGAGUCGGAUUGUUUGGGAAUGCAGUCCAAAAUGGGUGGUAAAUUUCAUCUAAAGCUAAAUAUUGGCGAGAGACCGAUAGCGAACAAGUACCGUGAGGGAAAGAUGAAAAGAACUUUGAAAAGAGAGUUAAACAGUACGUGAAAUUGUCAAAAGGGAAGCGUUUGACACCAGUGUUGUUUUUCCGAAAAUCAAUUAUGAAUGGCUUGAUUUUAAGUUUCAUGACCUUAAAAGCUUGUUUCUUAUUUUUCAUGUCUUUCGUAAUGCACUUUUCGGUUAACAAGUCAACAUCAAUUUCUUUUGUUGUAAAAGAGUAUGAGGAAGGUGGCUUUCUUUUCGGAGAAAGUGUUUAUAGCCUUGUACCUCUGCAAUCGGAGAGAUUGAGGUCUGCAGCGUAGAUCCUUCGGGGUUAGAUACAUUUGUGCUAAGUUAUAGCUUUUCAUAGACAACUUGUUGACUAUGUUAAGUCUUGUAGCUUACUCGCUUAUGCUAUUUUACCUACGCUUAGGAUGUUGACGCAUGAGAUAUACGC